UACGUAGGGUGCAAGCGUUGUCCGGAAUUAUUGGGCGUAAAGAGCUCGUAGGCGGUUUGUCGCGUCUGCUGUGAAAACUCGGGGCUUAACCCCGGGCCUGCAGUGGGUACGGGCAGACUAGAGUGCGGUAGGGGAGACUGGAAUUCCUGGUGUAGCGGUGAAAUGCGCAGAUAUCAGGAGGAGCACCGGUGGCGAAGGCGGGUCUCUGGGCCGUAACUGACGCUGAGGAGCGAAAGCAUGGGGAGCGAACAGG
This 253-nucleotide ribosomal RNA is filed under the name uncultured bacterium. RNAcentral's name for it is "partial 16S ribosomal RNA". It matches the Rfam family "Bacterial small subunit ribosomal RNA", at positions 524 to 776 of the family's 1533-position model. The record is from RNAcentral.